AUGGGAGGAUUGUACACUGGAGAGCAGGAAGGACGGAAGAGGGUGAAGGAAUGGGAAGGGAUCGAAAACCCCUCUAGGUGCUGGGGGGUAAUCCAGCCAUCCCCUCUGCGACACCCCUGGCUGAGUUACUUAAGGCCUUGAUUGGAUGCACAUUAGGAGCAGGAGAAUCAGCUUUAGACCUGUCCAGGGCUGGGAGGCCCAAAGAAGACCAGUUUCCCAGAGUGAGUGGCGAGUGGGAGCUUGCAGCCAGCCAGAGUGAGCCAGGGUCCCCACGAGCAUUACAGGAUCGAGACUCUGCACCCAAGGAAAUGGACUGUCAAGCUGUAUCU
Molecule: long non-coding RNA, 329 nt
Organism: Ornithorhynchus anatinus (platypus)
Lineage: Eukaryota; Metazoa; Chordata; Mammalia; Monotremata; Ornithorhynchidae
Exons: 2
Source: RefSeq, a predicted model, not a curated record